Long non-coding RNA from Carcharodon carcharias (great white shark), 463 nucleotides. RefSeq lists it as uncharacterized. Lineage: Eukaryota; Metazoa; Chordata; Chondrichthyes; Lamniformes; Lamnidae. The record is from RefSeq and is a predicted model, not a curated record. The transcript is spliced from 3 exons.
CUUAAAAUGGCAGCGGGGCCCGUUUCAGCAGCGGUGAUCCGCUGCCCACCCGCCACCAAGUCGGUGGGGCCUGACCGCCCAUCAAGGGCAAAAUUCUGCCCCAUGGGUUUCUCACCUGUGCAAGAAAGGGAAACAGCAGAAUGGCAGCUUACAAUGGAGGCUCUGGACUGGCAAGGUUGGCUAUCUUGACACCACAUCACCCAAACCCUGAUCCAUUGAUUGUACAAUCAGAAAUGAGGAACUCUUACAUCUCAGAAGGAGGCCCUUCAGCCCAUUGUGCCUGUGCCAGCUUUGAAAGAGCUAUCCAAAUAAUCUCAGCCAGUCUGCUCUGCUCUUUCCCCCAAAGACCUGCAUUUUUUUCUUUUUGAGUGUAUAUCCAGUUUCCUUUUCAAAGUUACUAUUGAAUAUACUUUCACCACCUUAUCACCAAGUGCAUGCCAGACCAUAAAAACUCACUGUUUAA